RNAcentral lists this transfer RNA (69 nucleotides) under Bos taurus (domestic cattle). It matches the Rfam family "tRNA". From Rfam's summary of the family: Transfer RNA (tRNA) molecules are approximately 80 nucleotides in length. Lineage: Eukaryota; Metazoa; Chordata; Mammalia; Artiodactyla; Bovidae. The record is from Rfam by way of RNAcentral. RNAcentral also lists the same sequence under 5 other names.
CCUGGUGGCUCAGACGGUAAAGCAUCUGCUUGCAAUGCAGGAGACCCGGGUUUGAUUCCUGGGUCAGGA